CAGCAGCCACGGGAAUACGGAGGAUCCAAGCGUUAUCCGGAAUCAUUGGGUUUAAAGGGUCCGUAGGCGGUCUUGUAAGUCAGUGGUGAAAGCCCAUCGCUCAACGGUGGAACGGCCAUUGAUACUGCAGGACUUGAAUUAUUGGGAAGUAACUAGAAUAUGUAGUGUAGCGGUGAAAUGCUUAGAGAUUACAUGGAAUACCAAUUGCGAAGGCAGGUUACUACCAAUUGAUUGACGCUGAUGGACGAAAGCGUGGGUAGCGAACAGGAUUAGAUACCCCGGUAGUCCCUGUCUCUUAUAC
This 301-nucleotide ribosomal RNA is filed under the name uncultured bacterium. Its description in RNAcentral is "partial 16S ribosomal RNA". It matches the Rfam family "Bacterial small subunit ribosomal RNA", at positions 509 to 807 of the family's 1533-position model. The record is from RNAcentral.